CAUGUUUUCAAAUGAUUUAUAGAACACAGUUUAAAAUUCGAAUCUAUUCAUUUUUCCCUAAUUUCGAAAUUUGUUCAGGAUUUUUGUAAACUAUAUCCUGCAUAGUUGAGUAUUAAUCAGACCUCUUAUCAAAUGAUACAAUACCAAUGAGGCCAUCUAACUUAAAGCAUUGAUACUACAUGUUUUACAUAAUUAGCUAUAGCUCAUUAAAAGAAUACAUGUUCUUUUUUAUUAUAUAUAAAACAAAUAAGUGUCUACUAGUAUCAUGAUAUUUAGUCUGAGAUUUAUAAAACUAUGAUUUAUGUAGUUGUACAAAGUAUAUAUGAAUCCUAGGAAUAUUACUAGCUAGACUUAAAAUUGUAUGACUGAGGACUGUAAAACUUGAAUGGAUUUCCAUCGAAUAAGAAAUUUCUGUCGAAUCAUUCUUGUUACUUUACAAAAUUUCUUUAUGUACCAUAUAAUAAAACAUAUUAGAAAAAUCGUAAAAACUUCACAGACUAUCAUGCAAGUACAAUAUGAAAAAGUACGUAUGAAUUUGGCAUGCAUUUAUUAAAAUACAUGUAUAUAAACAGACAACUACAAAUAUUACAUUGUGUAUUGCAAAUCAAAAAUCAUUCUGCAAUAAACAAGCAAAUAUAAAGUAUGUUCAGAGUAGGGACUAGAAAAAUAUUUGUAACUUGUGAGGUAGCAAUAGAACAUCUUUGCAAAGAUAUCAGUUUUACAACAUUCAAAACAAAACUAGACAUCUAUAUAAAACUGGCAAGACUUACAUUUAAAACAUCAAGAUAUAAAAAUAUAAGCCAAAUUUACCCUAAGAGUCUGAGCUGCGCCAGAUAGAAAUGGUCCUUAUUUAAGUUCAAGUAUACACAUGUACAUGUUAAAGACUUUGGUUGGUUAUGGACCAUCCAAAUAGGAUAUAAAAGAUGAAUCUGAUCUGUUUUGUAGGAGUUCUCGCUGCAUUGAAGACCCAUUGGUGGUCUUCGGCUAUUGUCUGCUCUUUGGUCAGGUUGUUGUCUCUUUGACACAUUCCCCAUUUCCAUUCUCAAUUUUAUUUUUAUAUAAUCUCCAUUUCCCAAAAGUUGAAGACUUUGCAUUAAGAUUUUUUCAACCCAAAAGAAAUAAACAGAUGUAUUGAUAAUGGCAGUUAUUCCAGUGGCGGAUCCAGCCAUUUCCCAACACAGAGUAAAGGGGGGGUUCCAACUAUAUGCUCCCAUUCAAAUGCAUUGAUCGGUCAAAAAAAGGGGGGUUCCAACCCCCACAACCCCUCCCCCCCUUGGAUUCGCCACUGUAUUGAUUUGCAUAAGGCAUAUCUAUCAGACACAGCUCAUUUGUUAUUAAAAAUACAAAGAUGCAGGAUCGAAAUUUCAUUCACAUCUUGUGAAUUUGACUCCUGGAACUUAUUCAUACUCUACUGAUAAAUUACUGCUGAUUAAACUGUCAUAACAUCACAAGCACAGCAUAUACGAACCUUAAGACAGUAAAGAGCAGACUAAUUUUUCCAUUCACAUCCAUAAUCAAAAAUGUACAUGAGAAUAUAAAGAAAUUUUAUAUCAAAGAACAAUUUGGCCCUUUAAUUUCACCAAAAUACAACGUUGCUUAAUGUCAUUACUAACCACAUUUUUGUAAGCACCAAAAGAAAGGCUUUUCAAAAAAUGUGAAGCUUAGCCAAGCGUUUACUUCUGAUGUAAUGAGAAAGAAUUGUCGGACAUUUAAAUCCAAAUGGCUCAUAGAAAGAACAUUUCGGUUAUUAUGAUUUAUAAAAAAGUACAAAUUUUGCCCAAAAUAAUUAUGUCAAAUGAAUAAAUUAACACAAAAUGCCUUUACUUAAAUAUCAUUUUGUGCACCUGCUAUGCUCUAUAUUACAUUCUCUAUAUUACAUUUAAGCAAGUGUUUAUUAUUUAGACUAAGGUUUUGCAUAUUUUAAGCCAUUUACAUUAACUUUUAACAUGUUACUGUAA
This 1958-nucleotide long non-coding RNA is filed under the name Mytilus galloprovincialis (Mediterranean mussel). Lineage: Eukaryota; Metazoa; Mollusca; Bivalvia; Mytilida; Mytilidae. The record is from RNAcentral.